UUGCAGCGCGUCCCAUAAUUCAUUUGCUGCAAGAAUUCGUUCGUUCCUAAUUGCAACUUGGUCCCAAAUUACAUCGCUGCAACCAGCUACCUAGGUCAUUCUAAUUUCCAUCCCUUCAAUUCUCAGCUGGUAGUUGCUAUCCUCUUCGAUCGAUCUCCCCCAGAUCUACAUACACUUCCAGUAAACAAACCAACCUCAAUCGAAAUUUUCUCCUCGGUCCUUCGCGAAUCACACCGCCGGUUCCCUUUUCAUAUUUGGUUUGUUAUUUUUCCGGCCACCACCAAGGUAUCACCGCCGGUAGUCUCCUUCUUCAUUUUGAGGAGUUCCUUCGCAAAGCUCACUCGCCGCCAUUUCCUCUUCCUCUCUGGCCCUUGAAUUCGCCGGCCACCGUUCACCGGCCACCGGUUGCGGUUUCUUGUUCCUUCUCAACAUCCGCCGCCGGAAACACCUGCUUGUUUAUUGUUGCGGUUUGUUUACUCUUCAUCUCUGGCCCUUGAAUUCGCCGCAGAUAAGUGGAGAUAGAAGGAGGGAUUUGCGGUUCAAAUUGAAAGUUCAAUCUUGUUUAUUCAACAUUGAUUCGAAAUUGAAGCAUUUGAACUUGCUUAGGACCCCUUGCUGGUAUUGCUAGUUUCUUGAACCAAAUCAUCCAUUUGAACUAUCAAGGCGUGAGUUCUUCUACUAGGAAAUGGUGACGCCGCCGCCAAAGAAGAAGGCUAAACCGCACCAUGGUAAAGGAAGUGUGAAAAGGAGCACCAAAGGUAGUUGUGUCCUUAAAAAGGGAUCUGGAUCAAAAAACAAAGAUACAUCAAAAAGUGAUAACCCCAGUGGUAUUAAAGUUGAUGUCCUUAGGGUGGAGUGUGAACUACUAUCUUACAUGAUGUCCAACAUGCCUAAAUUUUCAUCAGCAUUAUCACUUCCUGCUUCAAUUUUCUUGUACAAAAAGGACACACUGACUUCUGUCAAAUCUCGUGAUAUCUCUGAGUUUCUCACGAAGGAUUUCGCCAGUAUUAAAGUACUUCAAGUUUAUAUGAUGUACUUGUAUCAUGAAUACAUAUGCCCCUUAAAGUUGUCUCAUAUUAACUUUUUGUGUCCCGAUGCAAUUUCUUGUGCCACAAUGAAGAAGAAUCGUUUAAGCGUUAUUGACUAUAUAAAAGAUGCUUUCUUAAAUGAAAGGAAAAAGGAUGUGCAGUCAAAAUUCUAGUUGGCCCCCUACCAUGAAGGGAAUCAUUGGGUUCUUAUCGUCCUUGAUCUUGUCCUUGGCCUAGCAUACGUGUUUGAUUCGGCCACUCCUCCCCCUCCCGGGACACGGAAGUUAGAAGGGUUCAAUUGUAUACAAAUAAUUUAUUUGACUAAUCUUGAAAAUGACAAAAGGAAGAUUAAGUCACAAAAGUUACGAUUCAUACAGAUGAAGUGUGCUCAACAAGUUGAUGCAGUGGAUAGUGGUUAUUAUGUGAUGAAAUACAUGCAUGAUGUUGUCACAGUAUACAAUGAAUACAAGGAUAAUUUGUCUGAGGGUUAUGUACAAAGAGAAAUGCCAUAUUCUGAUGAGGAGUUAGAAGAAACUCGAGAACAAUGGGCAAAGUAUUUUAAGGACAACUAUUUGAUGGAUGCCGGCGAAUGAGUUUGUUGUGAUCUAGUAAUGUUGUGUUUUAUGUUUUUGUUAUGUGUUGGAUAUGACGUUGGAUGCUACUUGGAGCAUAUAUGUGGUUGUUGAAACAUAUAUGUGGUUGUUGGAACAUAUAUGUGGUUGUUGGAACAUAUAUGUAUGUUAUGUCUUUUAUACAGGUCUAUAAAUUCCCGUUUUGUCCGGGUUUCGCAAAUUACAAGGGAACCUAUGGCAAAUUUUUUGCAACCUAUUAAUAAUGUUUUUAU
Long non-coding RNA from Spinacia oleracea (spinach), 1872 nucleotides. RefSeq lists it as uncharacterized. The transcript has 8 exons. The record is from RefSeq and is a predicted model, not a curated record. Lineage: Eukaryota; Viridiplantae; Streptophyta; Magnoliopsida; Caryophyllales; Amaranthaceae.